RNAcentral lists this ribosomal RNA (301 nucleotides) under uncultured bacterium. Its description in RNAcentral is "partial 16S ribosomal RNA". It matches the Rfam family "Bacterial small subunit ribosomal RNA", at positions 509 to 809 of the family's 1533-position model. The record is from RNAcentral.
CAGUCGCCACGGGAAUACGUAGGGUGCAAGCGUUAAUCGGAAUUACUGGGCGUAAAGCGUGCGCAGGCGGUUAUGCAAGACAGAUGUGAAAUCCCCGGGCUCAACCUGGGAACUGCAUUUGUGACUGCAUGACUAGAGUACGGCAGAGGGGGAUGGAAUUCCGCGUGUAGCAGUGAAAUGCGUAGAUAUGCGGAGGAACACCGAUGGCGAAGGCAAUCCCCUGAGCCUGUACUGACGCUCAUGCACGAAAGCGUGGGGAGCAAACAGGAUUAGAUACCCCCGUAGUCCCUGUCUCUUAUAA